UGGGGGAUAUUGCACAAUGGGCGAAAGCCUGAUGCAGCGACGCCGCGUGGGGGAUGAAGGCCUUCGGGUUGUAAACUUCUUUUGCUCUGAACAAGGCGCACCAUGGGGUGUGUUGAGUGUAGGGGUUGAUUAGCGCCGGCUAACUACGUGCCAGCAGCCGCGGUAAUACGUAGGGCGCGAGCGUUGUCCGGAAUUAUUGGGCGUAAAGGGCUUGUAGGUGGCUGGUUGCGUCUGUCGUGAAAGCUCAUGGCUUAACUGUGGGUUUGCGGUGGGGACGGGCUGGCUUGAGUGCAGUAGGGGAGGCUGGAAUUCCUGGUGUAGCGGUGGAAUGCGCAGAUAUCAGGAGGAAUACCGGUGGCGAAGGCGGGGCUCUGGGCUGUUACUGACACUGAGGAGCGAAAGCAUGGGGAGCGAACAGG
This 419-nucleotide ribosomal RNA is filed under the name bacterium. RNAcentral describes it as "partial 16S ribosomal RNA". It matches the Rfam family "Bacterial small subunit ribosomal RNA", at positions 355 to 776 of the family's 1533-position model. The record is from RNAcentral.